This 811-nucleotide long non-coding RNA is filed under the name Rattus norvegicus (Norway rat). Its description in RNAcentral is "long non-coding RNA NONRATT011753". Lineage: Eukaryota; Metazoa; Chordata; Mammalia; Rodentia; Muridae. The record is from RNAcentral.
UUAAUAUAUUUUUAAUUUACCCAACACUUCUAUCCAGUGAUACAACUUGGUAAGCGUUUCGAGCGAGCAUCCGCCGGGUUAGGAAGUCGCGGACUGAGCAGCUUGCAUUUGCCACGACCGUCCUCAACUGUUUUGAAGAUUGUUCCAUCUUAUAACUACCAGUGUGCACAGACUCCUACUCAAGUAACGUCGUGGUCCAGCGAUGCAAAGAACUGAAAUCUCAAGCUGGAAAAGCCUGUAUUGUCUUCAUAAUAGCACAGAAGAAUUGUAGAUAGGAAGGACAGACGGAAACGAAUGAGGACUAUAAAAGAAAAAAAGGAACAUCCAAGAUUGAGAAAAACUGCCAGGACUAAGAAGGUAACCCACAGGAAGCUGUCUUCAGGUCCUGUUUGCCUGCUGUGCUUUCAAGAACCUGGCGAUCCUGAAAAACUAGGAGAAUUUCUUCAGAAAGACAAUCUUUGUGUCCAUUAUUUCUGUCUUAUGCCUAGGAGUGGGGCUGCUGUUUGCAUGUGAGUAGACAUGAGUGUGACGCUGCCAAGCCACACUCCCAUUAGCAGCGCGGGAGAGUUCCAGCUGACAGUUUUUACCAAGUCUUGGUACCGUCCAUCUUUUUCCUUUCAGCCUGCCUACUGGAUAUUACUAACGUCGUAUUGUGCUCUUAAUCUGUACUUGUUUGAGGAGUAAAGAUGUUGAGCUUUUCAUGUUGUGCUUAAUUUUCUAUUUUUAAAUAUUUCACUUAUUUUUCACUGAAUUUGUAUGAAUAUUUUCUUUUGUUAAAAGAAACCAGAUUUUGAUCUGGGCAUUGUGUUGA